RNAcentral lists this unclassified non-coding RNA (212 nucleotides) under Hevea brasiliensis (rubber tree). Lineage: Eukaryota; Viridiplantae; Streptophyta; Magnoliopsida; Malpighiales; Euphorbiaceae. The record is from RNAcentral.
CCUCUUUCCAUGCCUUCGAUCCACCUUUGAAAAACAGAUUAAUGAUAUGCCAAAUGGUUUUAAUUGUAUGUAACACGCCUCGCUAUCUAGCGCAUGAAAUGAUUCUUGUCAAGAUUUUGUAUUUUAGAAGCAGAUUUACUAUUUAAGAAUCGGGAUAUCAAGAAUCAGAUCGAAACAGUACCGUUGAUGGUAAUUAAUUUCUUGAAAUGUAG